This is a long non-coding RNA of Mesocricetus auratus (golden hamster), 1411 nucleotides long. RefSeq lists it as uncharacterized. The transcript has 4 exons. The record is from RefSeq and is a predicted model, not a curated record. NCBI's taxonomy places the organism in Eukaryota, Metazoa, Chordata, Mammalia, Rodentia, Cricetidae.
CUCUGAUGGAGGAAAGAACAAAACCAUUUCAAGUUCAGCAAAGGGGCACCUGAGUGUUGCCUAUGUUCUAGACUUGAGAAGGACGACCACUUUCUGCAACUCAGCACACCAGGAAAAUUGACUGCUUCCGUCUUCAGUUUCUUCAUCCCUCCCACUCAGACAACAUCCUUCUUUAUCCAAGCCCCCACUUCUGAUUACUCUAGCAAGUCGACUGUAACUCUUAUCAGAUUUUCUUUUGAAACAGGUGACACUGGUAACUCCUCAGCCCUCCCUGAAGAAAUGACAGUGUCUCAUGUAACCCUGUCUGGCAUGGAAUUCCCUAUGCAGCUGAAGACAACCUCCAAUUCCUAAUCGGCUUGUUCUACCUCCCAAGUGCUGGGACUGCAGGUGUGCACCAGCACACUCAGCUGCAGUCAGAAGAGGGCACUGGAUCCCCUGGAAACUGAGUUACAGAUGGUUAUAAGUCACCUGGUGGAUACUGGAAGAUGAGCUUGGAUCUUCUACAAGAGCAGCAUUUACCCAAUGUAUUUGAACUCAGUGAAGUUGCCCUCAGCAUGCAGACGACAGCUUCUAGGGCCUCCAGAGGACGCCGAAGUCUGAAGCUGCCCAAGUCCACUGCGGUAUUUGCACAUGACUUACAUCCAUCCUCUCUGUCUGCAUAUGUUUUGUAGGUGCAUUUCCUGCGAUCCCAAGUCCUACCCGAUUAGAUUAUUUUCCGUGUGUGGCAGGCUGGAUCUAUAGUGCUGAGGACAGAGCCCAGGGCAUUUACCCUGAGCUACAUCUCCUUCCCAUACAUACUUCUUUAAAAAGGGGACUCUCUGUGGCCCAUGGUGGUUUUCUACUGCAGGCAAUCCUCUGACCUCAGUCUCCCAAGUGUUCCCACCAUGCCUGGCUUCUACAUUCUUUCCUUAAUGCAUUACAUGGAAUGAGGUUUUUCAAACACCCUUUGAGAACUACUAUUCCCUAGGGAAAGUUCUUUGGCUACUCACACUACCAGUACUUUCAGUGUCUAGGAUUACACUGAACCCAUGUUUACUUCUGAGACAGGCUGGCCUUGACCACAGUAUGAAGCCCAUUCAGACUAGCCUCAAACUCAAAAUUCUCUUGCCUCUGGACCCUAGGUGCUAGGAUUACAAGUAUAUACUACCAGGCCCAACUGUACUUUGUCUAUGUCUGUCUCUCUCUGAAAUGAAAAUUUCCUUCAGGGUGGAAAAUAUUGUUCUUGUUGAUUUGGGCCCAUCAGUGCCCAAUAAAGAAAUCUGCUAAGUCACUUCCUGACCUUUCUCCUGUCCUGUCUAUGAACUACUGGACCAUUAUUUCUAUAAAUGAGUAUACUGAAAGCAGUAGAUGUAACCGUAAGAUAUUACUAAAAUGCCUGUACUUGGCUUAUUUAUUUCUAAAUAAACUUAUU